This 256-nucleotide ribosomal RNA is filed under the name uncultured bacterium. RNAcentral's name for it is "partial 16S ribosomal RNA". It matches the Rfam family "Bacterial small subunit ribosomal RNA", at positions 15 to 254 of the family's 1533-position model. The record is from RNAcentral.
GAUCCUGGCUCAGGAUGAACGCUGGCGGCGUGCUUAACACAUGCAAGUCGAACGGGAAACCUUUUAAUGAAGUUUCGGCAGAUUUAGCUGGUUUCUAGUGGCGGACGGGUGAGUAACGCGUGGGUAACCUGCCUUAUACAGGGGGAUAACAGUCAGAAAUGACUGCUAAUACCGCAUAAGCGCACAGGACCGCAUGGUCCGGUGUGAAAAACUCCGGUGGUAUAAGAUGGACCCGCGUUGGAUUAGCUUGUUGGUG